UGGGGAAUAUUGCGCAAUGGGCGAAAGCCUGACGCAGCGACGCCGCGUGAGGGAUGAAGGUUUUCGGAUCGUAAACCUCUGUCAGAAGGGAAGAAACCGCACUGUGCUAAUCAGCAGUGCCUUGACGGUACCUUCAAAGGAAGCACCGGCUAACUCCGUGCCAGCAGCCGCGGUAAUACGGAGGGUGCAAGCGUUAAUCGGAAUUACUGGGCGUAAAGCGCACGUAGGCUGCUUUGUAAGUCAGGGGUGAAAUCCCACGGCUCAACCGUGGAACUGCCUUUGAUACUGCUUAGCUUGAAUCCGGGAGAGGGUGGCGGAAUUCCAGGUGUAGGAGUGAGAUCCGUAGAUAUCUGGAGGAACAUCAGUGGCGAAGGCGGCCACCUGGACCGGUAUUGACGCUGAGGUGCGAAAGCGUGGGAAGCAAACAGG
RNAcentral lists this ribosomal RNA (429 nucleotides) under Fusobacteriota bacterium. Its description in RNAcentral is "Fusobacteria bacterium partial 16S ribosomal RNA". It matches the Rfam family "Bacterial small subunit ribosomal RNA", at positions 355 to 776 of the family's 1533-position model. Lineage: Bacteria; Fusobacteriati; Fusobacteriota. The record is from RNAcentral.